AGCAGUCGCCGCGGGAAUACAGAGGGUGCGAGCGUUAAUCGGAUUUACUGGGCGUAAAGCGUGCGUAGGCGGCUUUUUAAGUCGGAUGUGAAAUCCCUGAGCUUAACUUAGGAAUUGCAUUCGAUACUGGGAAGCUAGAGUAUGGGAGAGGAUGGUAGAAUUCCAGGUGUAGCGGUGAAAUGCGUAGAGAUCUGGAGGAAUACCGAUGGCGAAGGCAGCCAUCUGGCCUAAUACUGACGCUGAGGUACGAAAGCAUGGGGAGCAAACAGGAUUAGAGACCCCGGUAGUCCCUGUCUCUUAUAC
This 303-nucleotide ribosomal RNA is filed under the name uncultured bacterium. RNAcentral's name for it is "partial 16S ribosomal RNA". It matches the Rfam family "Bacterial small subunit ribosomal RNA", at positions 507 to 807 of the family's 1533-position model. The record is from RNAcentral.